This 301-nucleotide ribosomal RNA is filed under the name uncultured bacterium. RNAcentral describes it as "partial 16S ribosomal RNA". It matches the Rfam family "Bacterial small subunit ribosomal RNA", at positions 509 to 807 of the family's 1533-position model. The record is from RNAcentral.
CAGUCGCCGCGGUAAUACAGAGGGUGCGAGCGUUAAUCGGAUUUACUGGGCGUAAAGCGUGCGUAGGCGGCUUCUUAAGUCGGAUGUGAAAUCCCUGAGCUUAACUUAGGAAUUGCAUUCGAUACUGGGAAGCUAGAGUAUGGGAGAGGAUGGUAGAAUUCCAGGUGUAGCGGUGAAAUGCGUAGAGAUCUGGAGGAAUACCGAUGGCGAAGGCAGCCAUCUGGCCUAAUUCUGACGCUGAGGUACGAAAGCAUGGGGAGCAAACAGGAUUAGAUACCCCAGUAGUCCCUGUCUCUUAUAC